GCCUACGGGGGGCAGCAGUAGGGAAUUUUCGUCAAUGGGCGCAAGCCUGAACGAGCAAUGCCGCGUGAACGAGGAAGGUCUUCGGAUCGUAAAGUUCUGUUGAAGGGGAAAAAGAGCGGAGAGAGGAAAUGGUCUCCGAUUGAUAUUACCCUUCGAGGAAGUCACGGCUAACUACGUGCCAGCAGCCGCGGUAAUACGUAGGUGGCGAGCGUUGUCCGGAACUACUGGGCGUAAAGAGAGCGUAGGCGGCACUACAAGUCUCAUGUGAAAUACCCGGGCUUAACUUGGGGGUUGCAUGGGAAACU
Molecule: ribosomal RNA, 305 nt
Filed under: uncultured bacterium
Lineage: Bacteria
Description: bacterial SSU rRNA
Rfam family: Bacterial small subunit ribosomal RNA
Source: RNAcentral